UGAGGAAUAUUGGGCAAUGCCCGCAAGGGUGACCCAGCAACGCCGCGUGGAGGAUGAAUGUCGUAAGAUUGUAAACUCCUGUUAGAGGGGAAGAAUAGUACCGGUUGGACCGGUAUAUGACUGUACCCUCAGAGAAAGACCCGGCUAACUACGUGCCAGCAGCCGCGGUAAUACGUAGGGGGCAAGCGUUGUCCGAAUUUACUGGGUGUAAAGGGCGCGCAGGCGGGAUAAAAAGUCAGUGGUGAAAUCCUACAGCUUAACUGUAGAACUGCCUUUGAUAAUUUUAUUCUUGAGUUCGGGAGAGAGAGACGGAAUUCCAGGUGUAGUGGUGAAAUACGUAGAUAUCUGGAAGAACACCAGUUGCGAAGGCGGUCUCUUGGUCCGACACUGACGCUGAGGCGCGAAAGCGUGGGGAGCAAACA
This 422-nucleotide ribosomal RNA is filed under the name uncultured bacterium. RNAcentral's name for it is "bacterial SSU rRNA". It matches the Rfam family "Bacterial small subunit ribosomal RNA", at positions 355 to 774 of the family's 1533-position model. The record is from RNAcentral.